Octopus sinensis (East Asian common octopus) is the source of this 320-nucleotide long non-coding RNA. RefSeq lists it as uncharacterized. The transcript has 3 exons. The record is from RefSeq and is a predicted model, not a curated record. Lineage: Eukaryota; Metazoa; Mollusca; Cephalopoda; Octopoda; Octopodidae.
UUUUUUUCAAUUUCAACCAAUCACUGACGUCUAUUGAGGUGAAAACAUUCUGUGCCUUAUGAAUAUAUCCCUCGUUUAAGAAACAGAUUGGGUUUAUUUACAUUUCCGAAGAAAAAAAGUUACCCUUCCCAUCACCCCUAACUAUAACCCUACCCUAAAACAGAUUGAAAUGCAAUAGAUCGAUACUAGUGUCAUAACUAUGGGUGACAAUUGCAUAUGACACCACUAGAAAGAACUGCCGGUCAAACGGAAAUGAUCCGACGUAUUCUGGGGAGAAGCCAUAACUACCUUUGGUAAUUACCGGAGAGCGGAAGAGCGUC